This 370-nucleotide ribosomal RNA is filed under the name uncultured organism. Its description in RNAcentral is "bacterial SSU rRNA". It matches the Rfam family "Bacterial small subunit ribosomal RNA", at positions 526 to 896 of the family's 1533-position model. The record is from RNAcentral.
CGUAGGGUGCAAGCGUUAAUCGGAAUUACUGGGCGUAAAGCGUGCGCAGGCGGCUAUGCAAGACAGAUGUGAAAUCCCCGGGCUCAACCUGGGAACUGCAUUUGUGACUGCAUGGCUAGAGUACGGUAGAGGGGGAUGGAAUUCCGCGUGUGGCAGUGAAAUGCGUAGAUAUGCGGAGGAACACCGAUGGCGAAGGCAAUCCCCUGGACCUGUACUGACGCUCAUGCACGAAAGCGUGGGGAGCAAACAGGAUUAGAUACCCUGGUAGUCCACGCCCUAAACGAUGUCAACUGGUUGUUGGACGGCUUGCUGUUCAGUAACGAAGCUAACGCGUGAAGUUGACCGCCUGGGGAGUACGGCCGCAAGGUUG